RNAcentral lists this ribosomal RNA (468 nucleotides) under uncultured bacterium. Its description in RNAcentral is "partial 16S ribosomal RNA". It matches the Rfam family "Bacterial small subunit ribosomal RNA", at positions 28 to 507 of the family's 1533-position model. The record is from RNAcentral.
GACGAACGCUGGCGGCGUGCUUAACACAUGCAAGUCGAACGGAAAGGCCCUGCUUUUGUGGGGUGCUCGAGUGGCGAACGGGUGAGUAACACGGGAGUAACCUGCCCUUGACUUUGGGAUAACUUCAGGAAACUGGGGCUAAUACCGGAUAGGAGCGCCUGCUGCAUGGUGGGGGUUGGAAAGUUUCGGCGGUUGGGGAUGGACUCGCGGCUUAUCAGCUUGUUGGUGGGGUAGUGGCUUACCAAGGCUUUGACGGGUAGCCGGCCUGAGAGGGUGACCGGCCACAUUGGGACUGAGAUACGGCCCAGACUCCUACGGGAGGCAGCAGUGGGGAAUAUUGCACAAUGGGCGGAAGCCUGAUGCAGCAACGCCGCGUGCGGGAUGACGGCCUUCGGGUUGUAAACCGCUUUCGCCUGUGACGAAGCGUGAGUGACGGUAAUGGGUAAAGAAGCACCGGCUAACUACGUG